This 492-nucleotide ribosomal RNA is filed under the name uncultured bacterium. RNAcentral describes it as "SSU rRNA". It matches the Rfam family "Bacterial small subunit ribosomal RNA", at positions 26 to 518 of the family's 1533-position model. The record is from RNAcentral.
AGGACGAACGCUGGCGGCGUGCUUAACACAUGCAAGUGGAGCGACGAACCGGGGCUUGCCCCGGGGCAGAGCCGCGAACGGGUGAGUAACACGUGGGUUACCUGCCUUGAUGACCGGGACAACCCGAGGAAACUCGGGCUAAUACCGGAUGUGCCCGCAAGGGGAAAGGAAGCUUCGGCCUCCGCAUCAAGAUGGGCCCGCGGCCCAUUAGCUUGUUGGUGAGGUAACGGCUCACCAAGGCUUCGAUGGGUAGCUGGUCUGAGAGGACGAUCAGCCACACUGGGACUGAGACACGGCCCAGACUCCUACGGGAGGCAGCAGUGGGGAAUCUUGCGCAAUGCGCGAAAGCGUGACGCAGCAACGCCGCGUGGGGGAAGAAGGCUCUCGGGUUGUAAACCCCUUUCAGUUGGGACGAAGCUUCGUCGGUUAAUAGCCGGCUGGAGUGACGGUACCUUCACAAGAAGCACCGGCUAACUACGUGCCAGCAGCCGC